UCUCCGUUGGUGAACCAGCGGAGGGAUCAUUACAGGAUCGAAAGACUCCUAUAACCCCUGUGAACUUACUACAAUGACGUUGCUUCGCCUGGUGCCCCGGGUAUCCCGGGGCGUUCACCCCGCCGGCAGCCUUCAUAUUCUGUUUCUUUGCGUUGGCACUUCGAGUAUUAAAAAAUAAAUUAAAACUUUCAACAACGGAUCUCUUGGUUCUG
This 212-nucleotide unclassified non-coding RNA is filed under the name plant metagenome. Its description in RNAcentral is "partial contains small subunit ribosomal RNA, internal transcribed spacer 1, and 5.8S ribosomal RNA". The record is from RNAcentral.